UACGGAGGGUGCAAGCGUUAUCCGGAUUCACUGGGUUUAAAGGGUGCGUAGGUGGAGUGGUAAGUCAGUGGUGAAAUCUCCAAGCUUAACUUGGAACUGCCGUUGAUACUAUCAUUCUUGAAUAUCGUGGAGGUAAGCGGAAUAUGUCAUGUAGCGGUGAAAUGCUUAGAUAUGACAUAGAACACCGAUUGCGAAGGCAGCUUGCUACACGAUCAUUGACACUGAGGCACGAAAAGCGUGGGGGAUCAAAACAGG
RNAcentral lists this ribosomal RNA (255 nucleotides) under uncultured bacterium. RNAcentral describes it as "partial 16S ribosomal RNA". It matches the Rfam family "Bacterial small subunit ribosomal RNA", at positions 524 to 776 of the family's 1533-position model. The record is from RNAcentral.